Molecule: long non-coding RNA, 344 nt
Organism: Sebastes umbrosus (honeycomb rockfish)
Lineage: Eukaryota; Metazoa; Chordata; Actinopteri; Perciformes; Sebastidae
Exons: 3
Source: RefSeq, a predicted model, not a curated record
CAGAUAGGAUCAAAGUGACCUUGACUGAUGGAAGCUGGCAACGUCUCUCCUGCAGUCGGAAUCCAAGCUUGUCGCAUGUUUCUGCCCCAAUCAUGUAAAAGAGCAAUAUGCAAUUAGCUUCACAUUUGCCAGAUGUCUAUUAAUUCCUUUAUGCUGCCAUCUUGGUCAGUUCAAAUCAAGUAGAUGAAACCAGAUGGUUAGUGGGAUCUGUUGAAAGCCAAAACCCUUCUUGACUAAAGGUCCUGACACACCAAUCCGACGGUCGGCCAUCGGACAGUUUGGGGCCGUCGGUGAGCGUUCGUCGGCCUAGUUUUUUCGGUGUGUGCCUCAACGUUGGCUCUAGU